CGAGUGCAGGUCUGCCCCCGGGCAGGCCUAACCUCCCACCCGUGAAUACCUGACCAACGUUGCUUCGGCGGUGCGCCCCCCCGGGGGUAGCCGCCGGAGACCACAUUGAACCUCUUGUCUUUAGUGUUGUCUGAGCUUGAUAGCAAACCUAUUAAAACUUUCAACAAUGGAUCUCUUGGUUCCGGCAUCGAUGAAGAACGCAGCGAACUGCGAUAAGUAAUGUGAAUUGCAGAAUUCAGUGAAUCAUCGAGUCUUUGAACGCACAUUGCGCCCCCUGGCAUUCCGGGGGGCAUGCCUGUCCGAGCGUCAUUGCUGCCCUUCAAGCCCGGCUUGUGUGUUGGGUCGUCGUCCCCCCCGGGGGACGGGCCCGAAAGGCAGCGGCGGCACCGCGUCCGGUCCUCGAGCGUAUGGGGCUUUGUCACCCGCUCGAUUAGGGCCGGCCGGGCGCCAGCCGGCGUCUCCAACCUUCUAUUUUACCAGGUUGACCUCGGAUCAGGUAGGGAUACCCGCUGAACUUAAGCAUAUC
This 526-nucleotide ribosomal RNA is filed under the name Aspergillus insuetus. RNAcentral describes it as "eukaryotic LSU rRNA". The stretch from base 156 to 309 matches the Rfam family "5.8S ribosomal RNA". The record is from RNAcentral. Lineage: Eukaryota; Fungi; Ascomycota; Eurotiomycetes; Eurotiales; Aspergillaceae.